GAAGGUGUAUCUAGAAAGACAAAUUAGAGCUUGAAAAGUAAAGCAUUUCAUUUACAUUGAAAAGUAUAUUGUGUAAUUCAAUUUAAUUUGAUAAUAAUAGAAAUUUAUUAAUUUUUUUUUGUUUAAAUAAUUAUUUUAAUAAAAUUAAUUUUAAGUUAGUUAAUUUUUUUGUAUAAUAUAUAGAUCAAAUAAUUUAUAUAAUAGUUAAUUAGUAUUGUAAAAGAAUAUUGAAAUAUAUGAAAAAGUUUUAAAUUAAAAGUAAAUUUUAUAUAUUGUACCUUGUGUAUCAGGGUUUAUUAAUUAAAAGUUAAAAAUUUAAUUUUUCUCGAAUUUGAGGGAGUUAAUUUAUUAUUUAAUUUUUUGUUUCAUAAAAAUUUAAAAUAAUAAAUUAGAAAUGAAAUGUUAUUCGUUCUUAAAUAUAUCUAGUUUUUUAAGAAAUAAAUUAAAUUUAGAUUAUUAAUAAAUAAUUAUUUAUUUAAAUAAUAAAUUAUUAUUAAUAGUUAAUAUUUUAAGGGAUAAGCUUUAAAGUAAGUUUUAUAAUAAUUUUUUAAUUUGAAAAUUAUAGAUUUAGAAAUAGUCAUUAAUUAUAAAAAUGUUAUAAUUUAUUUUAAAUUAAAAAUAAUUUUUAUUAAUUUAAGUUUUUAUUAAAAUAAUUUUUAAAAUUAUGUAAGAAUUAAAAUAAUGAUAAAAUUAGUAUAUUUAAUUGUUUUAAAUAAAUAGAUUGAAAGGUUAAAUUAAGGAACUUGGCAAAUAAAUACUCGCCUGUUUAACAAAAACAUGUCUUUUUGAAUAUAAUUUAAAGUCUAAUCUGCCCACUGAAAAAUUUUAAAGGGCCGCGGUAUU
RNAcentral lists this ribosomal RNA (843 nucleotides) under Panorpodes paradoxus. Its description in RNAcentral is "partial 16S rRNA". The record is from RNAcentral. Lineage: Eukaryota; Metazoa; Arthropoda; Insecta; Mecoptera; Panorpodidae.